This 161-nucleotide ribosomal RNA is filed under the name uncultured bacterium. RNAcentral's name for it is "partial 16S ribosomal RNA". It matches the Rfam family "Bacterial small subunit ribosomal RNA", at positions 355 to 508 of the family's 1533-position model. The record is from RNAcentral.
UGGGGAAUUUUGGACAGUGGGCGCAAGCCUGAUCCAGCCAUGCCGCGUGCAGGAUGAAGGCCUUCGGGUUGUAAACUGCUUUUGUACGGAACGAAAAGACUCCUUCUAAUAAAGGGGGUCCAUGACGGUACCGUAAGAAUAAGCACCGGCUAACUACGUGC